AUUGAACGCUGGCGGCAUGCCUUACACAUGCAAGUCGAACGGUAACAGGUCUUCGGAUGCUGACGAGUGGCGAACGGGUGAGUAAUACAUCGGAACGUGCCUAGUAGUGGGGGAUAACUACUCGAAAGAGUGGCUAAUACCGGACGAGAUCUACGGAUGAAAGCAGGGGAUCGCAAGACCUUGUGCUACUAGAGCGGCGGAUGGCAGAUUAGGUAGUUGGUGGGAUAAAAGCUUACCAAGCCGACGAUCUGUAGCUGGUCUGAGAGGACGAUCAGCCACACUGGGACUGAGACACGGCCCAGACUCCUACGGGAGGCAGCAGUGGGGAAUUUUGGACAAUGGGCGAAAGCCUGAUCCAGCAAUGCCGCGUGCAGGAUGAAGGCCUUCGGGUUGUAAACUGCUUUUGUACGGAACGAAAAGCCCCGGGUUAAUACCCUGGGGUCAUGACGGUACCGUAAGAAUAAGCACCGGCUAACUACGUGCCAGCCGCCGCCGUAA
Molecule: ribosomal RNA, 498 nt
Filed under: uncultured bacterium
Lineage: Bacteria
Description: partial 16S ribosomal RNA
Rfam family: Bacterial small subunit ribosomal RNA
Source: RNAcentral